Long non-coding RNA from Oreochromis niloticus (Nile tilapia), 1050 nucleotides. RefSeq lists it as uncharacterized. The transcript is spliced from 2 exons. The record is from RefSeq and is a predicted model, not a curated record. NCBI's taxonomy places the organism in Eukaryota, Metazoa, Chordata, Actinopteri, Cichliformes, Cichlidae.
UUAGUGCCAAAAUUCGCCACUUUUCUAACCCGUUUGAUUAAGAAACGGCGUAAAAAACGCCGUUUAAUUAUUCAAAACGCCGAAAAAAACGGCGUUCUGUUUCGACAAACGCCGUUUUUUCCGACUCUCACAUGGCGCCCUGAACGCACCAUCCGAGUGACGUAAAAAGCGGCGUUCAAAGACACACGGAAACGCCGUUUUUUACGCCACUCGGCAGAAAACGCCGUUCAAAGAUGCAUAAAAACGGCGUUUUUUACGGCGUUCUGUGCCAGCUGUAACGGCGUUUAAAACGGCGUUUUAUUGAAAUUAUGCAGGGCACUCCCCAUGGUUCCCUCAUCCAAUUACUUUCAACUCAUUUCACCCAAUCAAAGAAGAGGAAGUGCAGACCACACUAAUGCAUCACCGAUUCACCUUGCUGCUAAGUGAUUGCCUAUUCAGUACCAGUGCUUGUCACAGUAUUGACUUGUAUUAUAAUCCCACUAUGCAUUUUGAUGUGUUUAAGGCAUGAUCAAGCAAACAAACGACAGAAUACUUUUUCUGAAACCUUAACUGUGAUACCUGUUAUGGCAGCUAACAGACACUCGGCGCAUGGCUCCUUUGUUUACGUUAGGGAUCAGCUGUUAGCGCUGCGCCCUGCAGCUGCGCUACCGGCAGACAGACCCUACGUCCCCAGUGAGGGAAGAGACGGGGGUGAUGUCUCCCGAGAAGGACACCUUACACACCAUCUCUCCUUCCUGUAAUCACUGUAAACGUGAGAUCGCUCCCUGAUAUGAUUGAGGAGCUAAUGACGCUAACCCGGUCACAGUGGCAGUACCCCGACACUGCCCGGUACUCCCUCUGUGAGUAGGCUGCCCGGCUUCCAGCUGCUGCGGCCGGACAAGACCAGAGACAGCGGUGAGAGGAAAGGAGGGGGACUGGGCAGUGUUUGUUAAAGACAGUUGUGGUAUCCCUGGGCACAUUGCUGUGAAAGAACAACUCUGCAACAGAGACAUUGAGCUAUUAGCCGUUAGCAUCCGUGGAGGCAGCCUGUGACUCUCUGUGGUCCGCAGA